RNAcentral lists this long non-coding RNA (2334 nucleotides) under Homo sapiens (human). RNAcentral's name for it is "HSALNT0180610". The record is from RNAcentral. Lineage: Eukaryota; Metazoa; Chordata; Mammalia; Primates; Hominidae.
GCCUGCAUUUAUUUUACUCAUAGGUGUCAAGAUUCCAUUUUCCAUGUUGAAGUUAUUUCAAGUACCUUUAACCAUACUACAAGAAAUACAGUAGUAUGGAGACCCCAUAGGAAAUGUAUAAAUUGCCCUGCCCAAAAACAAUACAGUUAAAAGUCAGAACAAAGAAAAGCUGGUGUGAACCCCAAAUAUCUGAGGGAGGUCUCAGUUAAUUUAGAAAGUUUAUUUUGACAAAGUGAGGACAUGCACACAUGACACAGCCUCAGAAGGUCCUGACGACAUUUCCCCUAGGUGGUCAGAGCACAGUUUGAUUUUAUACAUUUUCGGGAGACAUGAGACAUCAAUCAACAUAUGUAAUAUGAACAUUGGUUCCAUCUUGAAGCAAAGGAGGGACAACUUGAAGUGGGGAGGGGGCUUCCAGGUCAUCGGUAGAAAAGAGACAAAUGGUUGCAUUAUUUUGAGUUUCUGAUUAGCCUCUCCAAAGAAGGCAAUCAGAUAUGCAUUUAUCUCAGUGAGCAGAGGGGCGACUUUGUAUAGAAUAUGAGGCAGGUUUGCCCUAAACAGUUCCUAGCUUGAUUUUCCCUUUAGCUUAGUGAUUUUGGGGCCCCAAGAUUUAUUUUCUUUUCAAACAAGAUUCUCUAAUUCUAGUUUAUUUGUUAGAUCCUAUGUAUUUGGCUAUUCUCAUCUCUUGUACAAGUGAGGUUCACUAGUCCGAACCUCUUUACUUUCCAUUUUGGCGUCUUUUGGCAAGGUCACACUGAGUUUAUACAGUGUACCUGUGUCUAGGUUCAUGGCUUUCCAAGUAUGCCAUCAUAAAAUAGCUUGUACUAUUUUACUGGGAAAUUAAACCCAGGACUAUAAAUCAAAUUCUUUGUUGCUCUUCCUGGAUCAUUUUUGCUUUUUUUUUUUUUUUUUUUUUUUUGUGAGACAGAGUCUUGCUCUGUUGCCCAGGCUGGAGUACAGUGGCACGAUCUUGGCUCACUGCAACCUCCACCUUCCAGGUUUGAGCAAUUCUCCUGUCUUAGCCUUCUGAGUAGCUGGGACUGCAGGCAUGAGCCACCACACCCAUCUAAUUUUUGUACUUUUAGUAGAGACAGGGUUUCACCAUGUUGCCCAGGCUUGUCUCGAACACCUGAUCUCAGGUGAUUCACCCACCUCAGACUCCCAAAGUGCUGGGAUUAUAGGCGUGAGCCACCACACCUGACCUUCUUUAUUUGACAUCAUAUGUGAUUCCAGCUCAAAUUAAAUUGAGAAUUAAAACAGAUAGUGAAUGUAGCCCUUUAUAUAGAAAAACAAAGUUCAAGUCUCUAUAGUUGUAGCUAACAAGCAGUUGAAAUGUCAGUCUGCUUUUUCCUGAGCAAUUAUGAUGUAACUAAGGCACUAAAUCUGCCGUAUUUGUGGUGGUAGAGGCAGGAGAAGUCAUUGAAAUGCAUCUUUAGUUAUGAAUCUCAUUGUAAAAAGUUGUUUUUGUUCUUCCUUAGACUCUGUCUUUAAAUAUGUAAAAAGGCUGUAGUUAGCCCAUGUUGUUGUCAUGGGAUCCAUAAUUUAGCUAGAGCUCACCAGUAGUAAGGGACACAAUAUGGCUCAGGAAGUACUAGUAGAAACAGAACAGGACUCAUGGAGGAGAAAAAGCUGUAUGGGUGGACUAGGACAUCGGCCUGCACCAGGAGAAGAAAGACAACACCAACUGCAGGGUUUGGGCAAGACAAAUAAUGUCCUUGUGCAGUUUGCUAGUCCAUGUAUAAGAUUUUCUGUAAGAACUGAGCAAAUAGAGGAAUCCAUGACACUUACUGCUUGCCUAUUUCCUGGGUGACGUUUGUUGUGUACAUGCUGCCUGUUGCUUUUCAAAGCAAACCAGAAAAGUGAGGAUGUUUGCCAAGAACAAAGGUGUGAUGGACUUCUUUGGAAAUGCUUCCUGGAGAAGAGUUAUUUACUGUUAGUGGUUACGUCCAUUCCUCCCCUAUUGCAGUCUGUUCUGUUGAGGGUUGGCAGGAUACAAACAAAGUCUAUGAUUCUUUCCUCUCUUCAAUGUUCCAUUCCUGGAGAGGAAACUCCGCCAAUGAUGAGGUCAUGAUACCAUCUGACCAUAGAGGAAUUCAACUCCAGAUUCCUGUUUCUCCAGAUUCCUUCCUAUGAUGAACCAGUUUAGGUUAUUCACACACAUUUACCUGAGGUUGGGUUCUUCAGAAACAUAACCUGAAGUGAAGAUUCAUGUGCAAGUUCCCAGGAAAAGCCAGUACAGAAAUGAGGGGAGUGGAAGAAGCAAAGCAAGGGGGCAAUUUCAGGCAAAGUUCUGGGGAAGGUAGCUUUAAUUUUAUCCUAGAAGGAGACUCAGGA